Molecule: long non-coding RNA, 3491 nt
Organism: Lethenteron reissneri (Far Eastern brook lamprey)
Lineage: Eukaryota; Metazoa; Chordata; Hyperoartia; Petromyzontiformes; Petromyzontidae
Source: RefSeq, a predicted model, not a curated record
AACUGCGGCGGACGUGAAAUUUAAUGGAGCAAAAAAUAAAAAUCCGAAGCAAUUUUUUUUAUCGCGGCGAUAAUUUACCAACGUUGUUUAAUUUACGCGCAAAUGAAAUGCAGUGUCGCGGUAAUGGGAUGAUGAUGAUGAAUUGGUUGGAAAUGUUCAUACACGAGUUGCAUCGCUAGAAUGUUAAAAUGUCCCAAAGUUCAGCAUCAGCCGUGGUCUAUCCACUGCUGGAUGAAGAACGACAGUCCCAAGCCUCGUCGUCAUCUCUCACGACGAAAACUCCGAGCGAGGCCUAUGCCCCGAGGCCGGCCCGCCCUUGCCUGAUCUUCCUGCCGGGUUUGAGUCACGUCUGCCGGCAGAGUUCGUCAGCUCCGCGGGGGAGAAAAUGCAGUCCACUACUUGGUUGGACUGCCCUACAGCAGCGCUUUCGCCAGCUGGAAGACGUUGAACCUUCAUGAACCAAGUUGUGGAGAAUUAUGGCAAGAGACAGCACAGGGGUCUGCUACCCCAAGCAAGCCAUGAGUAUAGUUUAUAAUAGCACACAUUUGUCUGCCGAGGUUGGCAGUGGCAGAACUUCGUUGCUUGGUGGCCAUUUUACCAAACAACCGCAGAGUUGGGAGGUAAAAUGGCUGCCACGGCCGCGGGGAUUCUGUUGGUGGGGCGCAGCCCUGUUUUUUUAUUUUUUUUAUUUUCAGAUGUCUCUUGUUCACACAUCUUUAAAUACAAGUUCAUGGAACAUGCUGGUGCAUCCCUGCCUAUGUGGCGCAGAGGUAAAUCUGGAAGCCAGCCAUGUUUUUUUUAAUCUCACAAGUGCAAGAGGUCCACGGUUCAAAUCCAACACAGGCCAACAAAUAUAUAUUUCAAAAUCAGUUUUUUAUUGAAAUCAUGUUAAAAGAUAACAAUAUUGAACAGUGAUUACUUUCAAAAUAUGUAGCUAAAAUGUACCUUUGACAUGAAACAUCAAAACAAACAUUGGCUUGUAUUCAGCAGUAUCGUUAGGAUUAUUCAAAUACAAUACAAACUGCACGUAAGGUAAACGAAAAUCACAAGCAUAAAAAAACAUUUUUUAAUCAUGGCACAGGAAAUGUAAUAUGUUUCCAAAAUUGAUUUAGGCCAUUUGAACUUCACUAGAUGCGUAUUUUAUUUUAAAGUUGGCCUGAUUAAAGCCAGGCAUCCAAGCGGCUUGUGUUCUCCACGUCGCAACUUCAAGGGAAGAAGCUCAUUAUGCCCCCCCCCCCCAUCCCAUGAUGGUCAUCUUCCAGGACAUCAGCGGAACUCGGUGCGAGGAGGCAUCAAGAGAAGGGUCCAGCUCAAGCACGACUGGACAGAAAUAACAGCACAGAGCAUCGGCCGCGUUAUUGCCACUUCGACAGUCGCUCUGCCUUACAUUCUCACUUUCAUUGCAGCUCCAUUCACAUCACUCUCUGGUAUUAAAUGCUAAAGAAUAAUUCUCCAACAUGAGCGAAUGGUUCACAAAUAAAAAAAGAUGAGGCACAGUAAAGUAGGGCAGACUGGGACGAUAUUGGAAACACGCACAACCCGGUUGUACUCGCGCAAAGACUUCACUGCCACUCAUAUCACCAUUAUUCAUUCAUUCCUUAGCGCCCUGUGUUUGUGCAAAAGAACAAUUACACCCCCCUCCCCGAGUUCAAUACUGGCCCUGUUUCUGCCGUUUUGUUACAGAGCUCUUUACCAGACAACAAAAUGUCAACAUAUGCGAAAUAAUUUAUUUUGCUUGAAGGUUAUGGAUGAAGUGCUGGGGGUAGCUGGGGAAAGCAGCAGCAGCAGCAUACAUCUCCAUGGACCCUAGGGUCACAAAGGGUCACCUCUAUAGGGACGGCUAAAGGUCUCCACAGACCCACUCCCACCUCGCCCUCCAUCCCAUAAUGCUAAAUAAUACGAACGAAAGCCCAUGCAUUAUACAGCAUUAUAAAUCCUCUCUGUUUGCAGAGCACCUGACUGUGUGUAAUUGUACGGCGUGACCUUGCUGCCUGAUUUUUUUUUCCUCUCUCUGUGUGCCUUUGUUGAUUCAGAUUUACAGUGCAGCGCCUCUUAUAGAUCAAUAGUUCUUCUGCCUUGAAAUGUACACGUACUCCCUCCCAGUGUAAGGGUAAUCAUUAAUCUGCCAUGUUAAAUUACAGAGAGUGGACGAGCGUCCUUAUAUUGAACGAUGGCUGUAAGGAAACGGCGAGCGAUAAAUAGCAUCAAACAGCUUUCAUGCAAUCCGUGUAUUUUUUCAUAUGCCUUUCGGGCCGCAGCAGCAUAACGAAAUAGUUCAGCAAUUGUAGCCAUUCCAAUACGAAAGGAAUUUAAAAAUUAUACGCUGUAAAAACUUACGUGAAAUAUAUUUGUUGAGACGUAGUCUUUGCACACACACACAGUCUUGGUAUGGUAAGGUCGGAUGAGAGAAACAUUUGGGAGGUAUGCAUACAGACAAUGCAGUGCACGGUGUAGAAUGUUUACAGCCCUGAGUGGAAUUGCAAUAUAGGAAUUAUUCCAAUAUUGAACAUUGGUGACACUGCGUUGGCAGUGGUGCACAAGCACAACAAAAAUCACAUUCGUCAAACGCUGUGGCCUUACAAAAUUAAAAGUGUAGAAUAUGUGACGUUUCAGGCAUUGGCCCUUCACAGCACAGGCCAGGGAGGUGUGCUGUGAAGAAUGGCCAUUGCCCGGAAGGUCGCGUAUAUGUCUUCUAUUUAAAGCCACAGUGUUAUAGACAAAAGCGUUGAGAGUUUGUGUUGCAGUAUUGAAAUUUCGUCGCGAGUUUGACUCUAGAGCCUUGUUAAACAGUUGCGACAGCGUGAUAAUCGGAGGCGCGGGAAAACCAAAUUAAGUACAACUUUAAAGAGUGUCUUCUGCAAUCAUUGGAUGAAGGCAUCCUAAAGCUGCCACCAUCUUUCGCAACCCUGUGAUAUAUUUCCAUCUUGCAAAUGACUUUAAAAAAAUGGGUAGGGAACAUUGUAUUGCUAAUAAUAAUGUAGAGCCGUUUCUCAGUUUACUGUUGCAUGAUGGGUAUAUGAUAAACUUUGGUAGCAAGUCACGUGUUUACAUGUUUUAAUAUAAUUACAAUAAAGGAGAAUGUGACAACUUGCAGGUGCAAAUUUUGAUGUCUAUAUGCGAUAUUAAGUACUGUAGUACUCUUUAACGUUGAGCAGUUGGUACGUAAAUAUUUAUUUAUAUUUUGUUGAAAUGAAAAACGAGACUCCGCUUGUUUUAGUCACGAAAAUAUGUGCAUUUGUUUAGAUAUUAACUUUUAUAACGGAUGCAUCUUCAAUAUGAAAGAAAUAAAAUGAAAAAAUAAAGAUUAGAUUUUUGGCCAAAAUUGUUCGUACUUUUUUUUCUGUUUCAUUGUUGAUAAAACAAAAUUAUGCUACAUCUCUGGAACACAAAAUAAAAUAUGGAAAAUAUUAUAUUUUGAAAGCUGAGAAUGUAAAACGGCUCGUGUUGUGUUGGCAAAACAUAAUUCCUCAUUUCGUUUUUAUCAAUUUGAA